AGUGAACGCUGGCGGUAGGCCUAACACAUGCAAGUCGAACGGCAGCACAGUAAGAGCUUGCUCUUACGGGUGGCGAGUGGCGGACGGGUGAGGAAUACAUCGGAAUCUACUUUUUCGUGGGGGAUAACGUAGGGAAACUUACGCUAAUACCGCAUACGACCUACGGGUGAAAGCAGGGGAUCUUCGGACCUUGCGCGAUUGAAUGAGCCGAUGUCGGAUUAGCUAGUUGGCGGGGUAAAGGCCCACCAAGGCAACGAUCCGUAGCUGGUCUGAGAGGAUGAUCAGCCACACUGGAACUGAGACACGGUCCAGACUCCUACGGGAGGCAGCAGUGGGGAAUAUUCGACAAUGGGCGCAAGCCUGAUCCAGCAAUACCGCGUGAGUGAAGAAGGCCUUCGGGUUGUAAAGCCCUGUUGUUGGGAAAGAACAGCAGCAGGUUAAUACCUGGCUGUUCUGACGGUACCCAAAGAAUAAGCACCGGCUAACUUCGUG
Molecule: ribosomal RNA, 492 nt
Filed under: uncultured bacterium
Lineage: Bacteria
Description: partial 16S ribosomal RNA
Rfam family: Bacterial small subunit ribosomal RNA
Source: RNAcentral